GAUGAACGCUAGCUACAGGCUUAACACAUGCAAGUCGAGGGGAAACGACAUCGAAAGCUUGCUUUUGAUGGGCGUCGACCGGCGCACGGGUGAGUAACGCGUAUCCAACCUGCCCAUCACUUGGGAAUAACCUUGCGAAAGUAAGACUAAUACCCAAUGACAUCCCACGAAGACAUCUGAAUGGGAUUAAAGAUUUAUCGGUGAUGGAUGGGGAUGCGUCUGAUUAGCUUGUUGGCGGGGUAACGGCCCACCAAGGCAACGAUCAGUAGGGGUUCUGAGAGGAAGGUCCCCCACAUUGGAACUGAGACACGGGCCAAACUCCUACGGGAGGCAGCAGUGAGGAAUAUUGGUCAAUGGGCGAGAGCCUGAACCAGCCAAGUAGCGUGCAGGAUGACGGCCCUAUGGGUUGUAAACUGCUUUUAUAAGGGAAUAAAGUGGGUCUCGUGAGACUUUUUGCAUGUACCUUAUGAAUAAGGACCGGCUAAUUCCGUG
RNAcentral lists this ribosomal RNA (492 nucleotides) under uncultured bacterium. RNAcentral describes it as "partial 16S ribosomal RNA". It matches the Rfam family "Bacterial small subunit ribosomal RNA", at positions 28 to 507 of the family's 1533-position model. The record is from RNAcentral.